AGGAGGCUGAAGAACCAAUAACAGGAUUUGGGGAACAAAACAGAACCAGAACAGAGUUAGGGGCCAGUGAGAGGGUUUGCAACAGCACAAACAUCUCAGCACAAGAUGCUGGAGGGCAGAGAGUGAACAUGCUGUCCAUGACUGUGCUGGGUUUGAGAGUCCUGCUGGCAAAGAGCAUCGCCUUCAAUGCCCUCAUGAGCAUCAAGUUGUUUCUUUUCUGAGACAUGGGGAAUGAACCCAAAGAAGAGCAGGAAACAACGUGAACCAGCAGCACAAGGGGGCUGAACAAGCAGGGCCAGAGCUGCUGACAGAGACCAGCCAGGACACGAGGCAGCACCUUCCCCUGAAGACACGCAACACUCUGCACUCCUGCUGGCCAGCUGAUUUACACUGAAGAGUUUUAAGUGCUUUUGCUGUUUCCUCUCCUCUGAACACUGAGGAGAGUGGAUUUAUCCUCAUCCUCCUGCUAAGCAGAUCCCCCCACUCUUCUGGGAUUUGCACACCAGAGUCCAACCUGCUUCUGUAGCUUUGAAAACUCCAGUGCCCACUGCAGAUAGAUGGCCUUUGCAAAGCACCUUUCCCAGGCAUGUUGUGUUACUGCCUGUGGAACUGGAGCAGCACUGCUGGGGGACUUCCAGCACAGGAGCUUAGGGUUUUAGAUAAUUUAAAUAUCCAAAAGUGUGUAUUGCAGAUAAGAAGACCUGUGUAGAAUCUGG
Non-coding RNA from Zonotrichia albicollis (white-throated sparrow), 716 nucleotides. The record is from RefSeq and is a predicted model, not a curated record. NCBI's taxonomy places the organism in Eukaryota, Metazoa, Chordata, Aves, Passeriformes, Passerellidae.